This 346-nucleotide ribosomal RNA is filed under the name uncultured Geobacter sp. Its description in RNAcentral is "bacterial SSU rRNA". It matches the Rfam family "Bacterial small subunit ribosomal RNA", at positions 487 to 832 of the family's 1533-position model. The record is from RNAcentral. Lineage: Bacteria; Pseudomonadati; Thermodesulfobacteriota; Desulfuromonadia; Geobacterales; Geobacteraceae.
GAAGCACCGGCUAACUCCGUGCCAGCAGCCGCGGUAAUACGGAGGGUGCAAGCGUUGUUCGGAUUUAUUGGGCGUAAAGCGCGUGUAGGCGGUUUCUUAAGUCUGAUGUGAAAGCCCCGGGCUCAACCCGGGAAGUGCAUUGGAUACUGGGAGACUUGAAUACGGGAGAGGGUAGUGGAAUUCCUAGUGUAGGAGUGAAAUCCGUAGAUAUUAGGAGGAACACCGGUGGCGAAGGCGGCUACCUGGACCGAUAUUGACGCUGAGACGCGAAAGCGUGGGGAGCAAACAGGAUUAGAUACCCUGGUAGUCCACGCCGUAAACGAUGAGAACUAGGUGUCGCGGGUAA